This 387-nucleotide unclassified non-coding RNA is filed under the name soil metagenome. RNAcentral's name for it is "partial contains 5.8S ribosomal RNA, internal transcribed spacer 2, and large subunit ribosomal RNA". The stretch from base 1 to 120 matches the Rfam family "5.8S ribosomal RNA", at positions 35 to 154 of the family's 154-position model. The record is from RNAcentral.
GAUGAAGAACGCAGCGAAAUGCGAUAAGUAAUGUGAAUUGCAGAAUUCAGUGAAUCAUCGAAUCUUUGAACGCACCUUGCACCCUUUGGUAUUCCGAAGGGUAUGCUCGUUUGAGUGUCAUUGUACUCUCACACUUCUAAUUCCUUUCGGGAUUGGGAGCGGUGGACUUGGGUGUUGCUGCUUUAGUUGUGGCUCACCUCAAAUAAGUUAGUGCAACUCUUGGUUGGACAUAGUACGGCGUGAUAAGUGUCUUCGCCGGCGCCUCUGUAAGGAGGGUGGCUGACCGGGAGCUCUGUGCUUCAAACCGUCUUCGGACAACAACUGACAACUUGACCUCAAAUCGAGUAGGACCACCCGCUGAACUUAAGCAUAUCAAUAAGCGGAGGA